Molecule: transfer RNA, 65 nt
Filed under: Tarbinskiellus portentosus
Lineage: Eukaryota; Metazoa; Arthropoda; Insecta; Orthoptera; Gryllidae
Also listed under: 1 other name
Description: tRNA-Ser
Rfam family: tRNA
About the family: Transfer RNA (tRNA) molecules are approximately 80 nucleotides in length. Their secondary structure includes four short double-helical elements and three loops (D, anti-codon, and T loops).
Source: RNAcentral
AGUUAAUAAGCUAUAAAAGCAUUUGUUUUGAAAACAAAAGAUAGAACUAAUUGUUCUAUUAACUU